UGGGGAAUAUUGGACAAUGGGCGAAAGCCUGAUCCAGCCAUGCCGCGUGUGUGAAGAAGGCCUUUUGGUUGUAAAGCACUUUAAGUGGGGAGGAAAAGCUUAUGGUUAAUACCCAUAAGCCCUGACGUUACCCACAGAAUAAGCACCGGCUAACUCUGUGCCAGCAGCCGCGGUAAUACAGAGGGUGCAAGCGUUAAUCGGAAUUACUGGGCGUAAAGCGCGCGUAGGUGGUUAUUUAAGUCAGAUGUGAAAGCCCCGGGCUUAACCUGGGAACUGCAUCUAAUACUGGAUAACUAGAGUAGGUGAGAGGGGAGUAGAAUUCCAGGUGUAGCGGUGAAAUGCGUAGAGAUCUGGAGGAAUACCGAUGGCGAAGGCAGCUCCCUGGCAUCAUACUGACACUGAGGUGCGAAAGCGUGGGUAGCAAACAGGAUUAGAUACCCUGGUAGUCCACGCCGUAAACGAUGUCUACCAGUCGUUGGGUCUUUUAAAGACUUAGUGACGCAGUUAACGCAAUAAGUAGACCGCCUGGGGAGUACGGCCGCAAGGUUA
Molecule: ribosomal RNA, 549 nt
Filed under: uncultured bacterium
Lineage: Bacteria
Description: bacterial SSU rRNA
Rfam family: Bacterial small subunit ribosomal RNA
Source: RNAcentral